Molecule: unclassified non-coding RNA, 549 nt
Filed under: Hevea brasiliensis (rubber tree)
Lineage: Eukaryota; Viridiplantae; Streptophyta; Magnoliopsida; Malpighiales; Euphorbiaceae
Source: RNAcentral
UUUCAAUUGAAGCUGUUUUAAACAUAAUUAUAUUUUUGAUUGCCGUUAAUUUAUGUAGUUAUUGUUAUGCGUUUUGGAUUAAUUUUGUAUAAAUGCGUUUGCGGUUUCUGUUUUGUCGUUAAAUUGCUGAAAAUUAUUGGGUCUGUUAAAUAAUUCAUGCAACUUGAAACAUAUAGACGUAAUAACAAUGUGUAUUAAUUUUUCUCAAAGAUAGAUUUGACCCAAUUUGAUAUGUUAUUUAGGUUUUCAGAAGCUGUUUAUAAAUUGCAGAUUUGUUGUUAGGUCUUGGAAUUUGGAUCAUGAUGAAAUUCUUAAUCGUAUUUGGCAGCUAGGAAAAUGGGAGGAAAGGGAAAAGAGUUUGGGAUUUGGAGAAUCUUCUUAUUGGGAUUUGUGGACUCGUACAAAGAUUUUUCCUACUUUAUUGGUGAACACUUAGAGGACUUAGUUUAACAGCGUGUAGGAAUUAGAUUAUUCUCAAAUGAAAUCAGAAAAUGCCACUGACUCAGGAUUAUGCUAUUGCUUUUAUUUUUCUAAGCAACCAAGCUGAGG